UACGGGAGGCAGCAGUGGGGAAUCUUGCGCAAUGGGCGAAAGCCUGACGCAGCCAUGCCGCGUGAAUGAUGAAGGUCUUAGGAUUGUAAAAUUCUUUCACCGGGGACGAUAAUGACGGUACCCGGAGAAGAAGCCCCGGCUAACUUCGUGCCAGCAGCCGCGGUAAUACGAAGGGGCUAGCGUUGCUCGGAAUUACUGGGCGUAAAGGGAGCGUAGGCGGACAUUUAAGUCAGGGGUGAAAUCCCGGGGCUCAACCUCGGAAUUGCCUUUUGAUCUGGGUGUCUUGAGUAUGAGAGAGGUGUGUGGAACUCCGAGUGUAGAGGUGAAAUUCGUAGAUAUUCGGAAGAACACCAGUGGCGAAGGCGACACACUGGCUCAUUACUGACGCUGAGGCUCGAAAGCGUGGGGAGCAAACAGGGAUUAGAUACC
This 429-nucleotide ribosomal RNA is filed under the name uncultured bacterium. Its description in RNAcentral is "bacterial SSU rRNA". It matches the Rfam family "Bacterial small subunit ribosomal RNA", at positions 340 to 786 of the family's 1533-position model. The record is from RNAcentral.